RNAcentral lists this ribosomal RNA (440 nucleotides) under uncultured bacterium. RNAcentral describes it as "partial 16S ribosomal RNA". It matches the Rfam family "Bacterial small subunit ribosomal RNA", at positions 338 to 795 of the family's 1533-position model. The record is from RNAcentral.
CCUACGGGUGGCAGCAGUGGGGAAUAUUGCUCAAUGGGGGAAACACUGAAGCAGCCACGCCGCGUGGGGGAUGAAGGUUUUCGGAUUGUAAAAUCUUUUUGUUCGAGAAGCUAAUGACGGUAUCUGACGCAUAAGCACCGGCUAACUCCGUGACAGCACCCGCGGUUAGGCGGAGGGUGCAAGCGUUACUCGGAAUCACUGGGCGUAAAGAGCGCGUAGGCGGGAUAGCAGGUCAGAUGUGAAAUCCUAGGGCUUAACCAUAGAACUGCAUUUGAAACUGUUAUUCUAGAGUAUGGGAGAGGUAGGUGGAAUGCGUGGUGUAGGGGUAAAAUCCGUAGAGAUCAAGAGGAAUACUCAGUGCGAAGGCGACCUGCUAGAACAUAACUGACGCUGAUGCGCGAAAGCGUGGGGAGCAAACAGGAUUAGAUACCCUAGUAGUC